UGCAAGUCGAGCGGCAGCGACAACAUUGAUUCUUCGGAGGAUUUGUUGGGCGGCGAGCGGCGGACGGGUGAGUAAUGGCUGGGAACCUGCCCUGACGUGGGGGAUAACAGUUGGAAACGACUGCUAAUACCGCAUGAUGUCUUCGGACCAAAGAGGAGGACCUUCGGGCUUCUCGCGUCGGGAUGGGCCCAGUUGGGAUUAGCUAGUUGGUGAGGUAAUGGCUCACCAAGGCGACGAUCCCUAGCUGGUUUGAGAGGAUGAUCAGCCACACUGGAACUGAGACACGGUCCAGACUCCUACGGGAGGCAGCAGUGGGGAAUAUUGCACAAUGGGCGCAAGCCUGAUGCAGCCAUGCCGCGUGUGUGAAGAAGGCCUUCGGGUUGUAAAGCACUUUCAGCAGUGAGGAGGGCGUAGUGGUUAAUACCCGCUGCGCUUGACGUUAGCUGCAGAAGAAGCACCGGCUAACUCCGUGCCAGCAGCCGCGGUAAUACGGAGGGUGCGAGCGUUAAUCGGAAUUACUGGGCGUAAAGCGCAUGCAGGCGGUUUGUUAAGCAAGAUGUGAAAGCCCCGGGCUCAACCUGGGAACCGCAUUUUGAACUGGCAGGCUAGAGUCUUGUAGAGGGGGGUAGAAUUUCAGGUGUAGCGGUGAA
RNAcentral lists this ribosomal RNA (650 nucleotides) under uncultured Vibrio sp. RNAcentral's name for it is "bacterial SSU rRNA". It matches the Rfam family "Bacterial small subunit ribosomal RNA", at positions 56 to 685 of the family's 1533-position model. Lineage: Bacteria; Pseudomonadati; Pseudomonadota; Gammaproteobacteria; Vibrionales; Vibrionaceae. The record is from RNAcentral.